RNAcentral lists this long non-coding RNA (256 nucleotides) under Setaria viridis. RNAcentral describes it as "long non-coding RNA (SVIR_LNC008836)". The record is from RNAcentral. Lineage: Eukaryota; Viridiplantae; Streptophyta; Magnoliopsida; Poales; Poaceae.
UAGGACCUUCGGGAGGCCUUGGCCCCCGUUAGCCUUUCCUGGAACCUGAGCAACGUCACGACCUUCGCGAGCAGAUCAUCCAGAAUCACGACAUGCGUGACAUCAUUGCAGGGCACCGCCGCGAAUGCGAUCAAGAAGUCGACUACUUGGGAGAACACACUGACGGGUUCCCUGCCUUUUCAAGCUGAGUACGCAAGACAGUUCUACCCGACAAGUUUAAACUUCUGGGUAUCAACAAAUACGACGUCAAGCAGGA